This 492-nucleotide ribosomal RNA is filed under the name uncultured Lachnospiraceae bacterium. RNAcentral's name for it is "bacterial SSU rRNA". It matches the Rfam family "Bacterial small subunit ribosomal RNA", at positions 15 to 507 of the family's 1533-position model. Lineage: Bacteria; Bacillati; Bacillota; Clostridia; Lachnospirales; Lachnospiraceae. The record is from RNAcentral.
UAUCCUGGCUCAGGAUGAACGCUGGCGGCGUGCUUAACACAUGCAAGUCGAACGAAGCACCUGAGAAUGAUUCUUCGGAUGAAGUCUCUUGUGACUGAGUGGCGGACGGGUGAGUAACGCGUGGGUAACCUGCCUCACACAGGGGGAUAACAGUUGGAAACGACCGCUAAUACCGCAUAACCCGCUGGUGCCGCAUGGCACUGACGGAAAAGAUUUAUCGGUGUGAGAUGGACCCGCGUCUGAUUAGCCAGUUGGCAGGGUAACGGCCUACCAAAGCGACGAUCAGUAGCCGGCCUGAGAGGGUGAACGGCCACAUUGGGACUGAGACACGGCCCAGACUCCUGCGGGAGGCAGCAGUGGGGAAUAUUGCACAAUGGGGGAAACCCUGAUGCAGCGACGCCGCGUGAGUGAAGAAGUAUUUCGGUAUGUAAAGCUCUAUCAGCAGGGAAGAAAAUGACGGUACCUGAUUAAGAAGCCCCGGCUAACUACGUG